CUCGUAGGCGGUUCGUCGCGUCCGGUGUGAAAGUCCAUCGCCUAACGGUGGAUCUGCGCCGGGUACGGGCGGGCUGGAGUGCGGUAGGGGAGACUGGAAUUCCCGGUGUAACGGUGGAAUGUGUAGAUAUCGGGAAGAACACCAAUGGCGAAGGCAGGUCUCUGGGCUGUUACUGACGCUGAGGAGCGAAAGCGUGGGGAGCGAAACA
This 208-nucleotide ribosomal RNA is filed under the name uncultured bacterium. Its description in RNAcentral is "partial 16S ribosomal RNA". It matches the Rfam family "Bacterial small subunit ribosomal RNA", at positions 568 to 775 of the family's 1533-position model. The record is from RNAcentral.